Sphaerodactylus townsendi is the source of this 429-nucleotide non-coding RNA. The record is from the annotation of a RefSeq genome assembly. Lineage: Eukaryota; Metazoa; Chordata; Lepidosauria; Squamata; Sphaerodactylidae.
AUGAAAUUAAUUCUAUGCUUCAUAUGUUUCUUGGUCACCAUUCUGAAAGGUGUCUUCUCAGAGGUCCAACUGGUGGAGUCUGGAGGAGAUAUCAGAAGGCCUGGAGAAUCUCUCUUCCUCACUUGUAAAGCGUCUGGGUUCACCUUUGAUAGCUAUGACAUGAUCUGGGUGAGGCAGGCUCCUGGGAAGGGUCUGGAGUGGCUGGCUUACAUAAGCAAUCUAGCAGUGACCCUGACUUAUGCUGACUCAGUGAGAGGACGCUUCACCAUCUCCAGGAGCAACCCUUCCAACACGUUGCAUCUGCAAAUGAACAGCCUGGAGCCUGGGGACACUGCUUUGUAUUACUGUGCCAGGAGGACACAGUGGGAAGAAGUCAGUCUAAAACAAGGCAAAAACCCUCCUCUGCCUCUGGCAGCUCUCCAGAACUGA